Molecule: transfer RNA, 70 nt
Filed under: Paralvinella hessleri
Lineage: Eukaryota; Metazoa; Annelida; Polychaeta; Terebellida; Alvinellidae
Description: tRNA-Arg
Source: RNAcentral
AGGUGAAUAGCACAGAUUGUGCGACUUGGUUUCGGCCCAAGUAGAAAGGGUGAGACCCCCUUUUCCCCUG